Molecule: ribosomal RNA, 492 nt
Filed under: uncultured bacterium
Lineage: Bacteria
Description: partial 16S ribosomal RNA
Rfam family: Bacterial small subunit ribosomal RNA
Source: RNAcentral
AGUGAACGCUGGCGGUAGGCCUAACACAUGCAAGUCGAACGGCAGCACAGUAAGAGCUUGCUCUUACGGGUGGCGAGUGGCGGACGGGUGAGGAAUACAUCGGAAUCUACUUUUUCGUGGGGGAUAACGUAGGGAAACUUACGCUAAUACCGCAUACGACCUACGGGUGAAAGAAGGGGAUCUUCGGACCUUGCGCGAUUGAAUGAGCCGAUGUCGGAUUAGCUAGUUGGCGGGGUAAAGGCCCACCAAGGCGACGAUCCGUAGCUGGUCUGAGAGGAUGAUCAGCCACACUGGAACUGAGCCACGGUCCAGACUCCUACGGGAGGCAGCAGUGGGGAAUAUUGGACAAUGGGCGCAAGCCUGAUCCAGCCAUACCGCGUGGGUGAAGAAGGCCUUCGGGUUGUAAAGCCCUUUUGUUGGGAAAGAAAAGCAGCAGGUUAAUACCCCGCUGUUCUGACGGUACCCAAAGAAUAAGCACCGGCUAACUUCGUG